GGGCGGGGCCGGGCCGGGGCGGGGCGCGGGGCGGGUGGCGCCCGGUGUGUGCAGGCGCGGCCCGGGCGCCCCGAGGGCAGCUGCGGCGGGGCCUGGGCCGCGGGGAGGCUCCCCGGGACCCGGACGCCCACACCCCCGGGGGCGGGGACCGCGGUGACCCCCCCCCCCCGCCCCGGACGCCCGGGCUUUGCGCCUGCAGGACGGUGACGUCGGGCACCCGCGCCCCCGGGAGACCCGCGUCCGGGAGGCCACAGCGGGGCCCUGUGCACGUGCUGCCCUCGGGGGUCCAGGGAGCCACCAGGGGCUGGCGCAGGCUGGCAGUACCCGGCAGCCGCAGAAACCACACACACAGGUGGACAAAGGAACGUGUCACUUCAAGGAACGGCUGAUGCUUUCCGGAAAAUAAAAAAUAUUGGGAGCAACGAGGUGUGGAAGCCAGAGCUCCUCGCGGCCACAGACCCCACAGACCUAAUGCAGGAGAGCCGCCCCCAGAAGAUGCCAAGCGCCCUCCUCCGUCUCAGCCGCUCGGCCUGACCCCCGCUCCCCCGUGGCCAGGGGCCAGGUUCCUGCCUGGUGGCCCCGGGGGAGGACGCCCAGCUGUCUUGGCCUGUCCUUGGCCUCUGACCGUGGAGGGGAUCCUCACUGCCUGGGGACUGAGGCAGGGAUGGGACCCAAGUUCUCAGCGAGGGUGUGCAAGAGCUGGACGUUGUGACCUUGGCCGAGACCUGACCCUGCCGCGGCCCCGCCGCCCCAGCCUGGGCUCUGCAAACCAAAGGGUGGCCCCGGACGACGCAGGUGGAAUCAGAGGAGCGCCGCGCAGAGAGCGUUUCCCUCCGCGACCCGGGAGAUGUCCGUGACCCGCCGUCGCCGGGUGUGAAGGUAGAGGAAGGGGCCUCGAGCCAGAGAAUGUGAGUAACCUCCAGAGGCUGGAAAAGCUUAAGUCAGAGAAAGACAAAUGCCAUAGGGCGUCACUCGUCUGUGGAAUUUAAGAAACAAAACAGACGGACAUAGGGGAAGGGAAAAAAGAGAGAGGGAUGCAAACCAUAAAAGACUUUUUUUAAGAAGGCUCCGUGCCCAACGUGGGGCUUGAACUCCAACCCGAGACCAGGAGUCGCGUGCUCUUCUGACUGAGCCCGCCGGCGCCCCAACGGACUCUUAACUCGGGGAGUAGUUGGUGGAGGGAGGUGGUGGGUGACGGGCAUGACGGAGGGCACUUGCUGGGGCGCCGGGGGCGGGUCAGCGGGUGAAGCAGCUGACUUGGGCUCAGGUCAUGAACCCAAGGACCUGGGAUCCAGUCCCGGGUUGGGCUCCGCAGGGAGGGGGCUUGGGAUCCUCUCUCUGCUUUUCCCCCCAACGCGUACACUUAUUUUCUCUCUCUCAAAUAAAGAAAUAAAAUCUUCCAAAAAAUUUUUUUAAAUAGAAGCUGGAAAAGCAAGGAAUAGACCCCCCUCCCCGACCCCCGAGACACCAAAAGGAAGGCAACUGCACCGAUACAUUUAGUUCAGAGACCCAUGUUGGACUUCUGAUCUCUAGGACUAGAGAAGAACAAUCUGUUGUUUUUUCGUAUUAAAGAUUUUAUUGAAAAAAAAAAAGAUGUUAUUUACUUAUUCACGAGAGAGGCAGAGACACAGGGAGAAGCAGGCUCCUCGCAGGGAGCCCGAUGUGGGACUCGAUCCCGGGACUCCGGGAUCACGCCCUGGGCUGAAGGUGGCGCUAAGCCGCUGAGCCCCCCCCCCCCCCCCCCCGGGCAUCCCCAAUCUGUGUUGUUUUAAGCCACUGAGUUUGG
Molecule: long non-coding RNA, 1786 nt
Filed under: Canis lupus familiaris (dog)
Lineage: Eukaryota; Metazoa; Chordata; Mammalia; Carnivora; Canidae
Description: lncRNA (ENSCAFG00000058347.1)
Source: RNAcentral